This 858-nucleotide ribosomal RNA is filed under the name uncultured euryarchaeote. RNAcentral describes it as "bacterial SSU rRNA". It matches the Rfam family "Archaeal small subunit ribosomal RNA", at positions 1 to 879 of the family's 1478-position model. The record is from RNAcentral. Lineage: Archaea; Methanobacteriati; Methanobacteriota.
UUCCGGUUGAUCCUGCCGGAGGCGACCGCUUUGGGAGUUCGAUUAAGCCAUGCGAGUCGUGAGUCUUAGGGACUCGGCAUACUGCUCAGUAACACGUGGAUAACCUGCCCUAUCGUCUGGAAUAACCUCGGGAAACUGAGAAUAAGGCCGGAUAGUUCACAAUGCCUGGAACGGUUUGUGAAUCAAGGUAGGAUGGGUCUGCGGCGUAUCAGGUUGUAGGGGGUGUAAAGGACCCCCUAGCCUUCGACGCGUACGGGUGUUGGGAGACAUAGCCCGGAGAUGGAUUCUGAGACACGAAUCCAGACCCUACGGGGUGCAGCAGGCGCGAAAACUUCACACUGCAGGAAACUGUGAUGAGGGAACUCCUAGUGCAUGCACUAUGUGUAUGUAGAUCCUACUCUUAACAAGUAGAGGGAAAGGGCUGGGAAAGACCGGUGCCAGCCGCCGCGGUAAUACCGGCAGCUCAAGUGGUCGUCGCUUUUAUUGGGCCUAAAACGUCCGUAGCCUGUUUGGUAAAUCUGUGGGUAAAUCAAUCCGCUCAACGGAUUGAAUUCUGCAGAGACUGCCAGACUAGGGACCGGGAGAGGUGUGGGGUACUCGAGGGGUAGGGGUGAAAUCCUGUCAUCCUUCGAGGACCACCAGUUGCGAAGGCGCCACACUGGAACGGAUCCGACGGUCAGGGACGAAGCCUAGGGGCACAAACCGGAUUAGAUACCCGGGUAGUCCUAGGUGUAAACGCUGUGAACUUGGUGUCGGGGGUCCGCAAGGGGUCCCCGGUGCCGGAGUGAAGAUGUUAAGUUCACUGCCUGGGGAGUACGGUCGCAAGGCUGAAACUUAAAGGAAUUGGCGGGGCAGCAC